This is a long non-coding RNA of Suricata suricatta (meerkat), 661 nucleotides long. RefSeq lists it as uncharacterized. The transcript is spliced from 4 exons. Lineage: Eukaryota; Metazoa; Chordata; Mammalia; Carnivora; Herpestidae. The record is from RefSeq and is a predicted model, not a curated record.
GCCAAAAUAGAGUGAUGAUGAGGCUAACUACUAAUCACUCCCAAUAAGUCCUUUCAGUAAAAUUCCAUAUGCAUAAAUGCAGUGUACCAGUGCCUGAAUAUUCUGUAUGUACAAACUUUCAGGACAGAUAGAAUCAAAUGAAGAAUCAAAGCCAUUGGGAGGUGCUGGAUUCAAGAGUGAAAUGUCAUGAUGUCUGUGAUUUAAAUUCAGCAACAUUUUCAAGAGAUUGGGCUAGGAGCCAACACCUGACCAAAAUAUCGACUCCUUGAAGCUCUCCAGUCCUCAUUCCAGGUCACCAGCUAUUGACUGCCGGAACCAACUAAAGCAUCUCUCUUGGGAAGUGUGAAAGUGGAAGAGAAAGAGAGAAAAACCCAGAAAGAGAGAAAAGUAAACUGACAGCAAGCUGUCAUGUGGUAAGCCACCCUAUAGAGAGACCCACCUGGUGAGGAACUGAAGCCUCCAGCCAAGAGCCAGCAAGCAACAGAGACCUGCUAACAACCACAUGGGUGAUCUUGGAGGCAGAUUCUCCAGCCCUGAUCAAGCUUUGAGAUGACUAAAGCCCCAGCAGCAGUCUGGCUAUAAUCUCGAGAGACCAGCUAAGCUGAUUCCUAAUCCUCAAGAACUGUAUGGAACAAUAAAUUUGUCAUUUUAAGCUGCUAAA